Molecule: ribosomal RNA, 449 nt
Filed under: uncultured bacterium
Lineage: Bacteria
Description: partial 16S ribosomal RNA
Rfam family: Bacterial small subunit ribosomal RNA
Source: RNAcentral
AACGAACGCUGGCGGCAGGCUUAACACAUGCAAGUCGAACGAGAUCUUCGGAUCUAGUGGCAGACGGGUGAGGAACACGUGGGAACAUCCCUUUCAGUUCGGAAUAACGUUGGGAACCUAACGCUAAUACCGGAGACGUCCUUCGGGAGAAAGAUUUAUCGCUGAAAGAUUGGCCCCCGUCUGAUUAGCUAGUUGGUGAGGUAAUGGCUCACAAAGGCUACGAUCAGUAGCUGAUCUGAGAGGAUGAUCAGCCACAUUGGGACUGAGACACGGCCCAAACUCCUACGGGAGGCAGCAGUGGGGAAUAUUGGACAAUGGGCACAAGCCUGAUCCAGCCAUGCCGCGUGAGUGAUGACGGCCUUCGGGUUGUAAAGCUCUUUUGUCCGGGAAGAUAAUGACUGUACCGGAAGAAUAAGCCCCGGCAAACUUCGUGCCAGCCGCCGCAGUAA